RNAcentral lists this ribosomal RNA (470 nucleotides) under Callosobruchus maculatus (cowpea weevil). RNAcentral describes it as "partial large subunit ribosomal RNA". Lineage: Eukaryota; Metazoa; Arthropoda; Insecta; Coleoptera; Chrysomelidae. The record is from RNAcentral.
CGUUCAGGGGUAAACCUGAGAAACCCGAAAGGUCGAAAGGGGAAAUUCAUUCGCGUCUCGGAUAUCGGCGAUGAGCAGCCGCGUGACGGAUGGCGUUCGCGUUGUCCGCGCCUUCUGUUUUUCGAACCGGUGACGAACGCGUGCACUUUUCCCCUAGUAGGACGUCGCGAUCCGUUGGGUGUCGGUCUACGGCUCGCGGUGGAGUCCGUGUGCGAUCGUUUCGGCGAUUCGUGCUCGAACCCGCGAUGUUCCGGCCGACUCGCUCGACGGUAUACAGAUGGCGCGAGGCCGCUACGUUAAUUAGCGUCCGACCCACGGCAAGCGCGUUCGAUGCUAAGACGGCGAUCGGACCUAGUGCCGAUUCCGUUUCCGGACGACUGUUGGCCGUGUGGAUCUCUCGGACAGACCUCGUUCGAAACGCUGAUCUGCGACGCUAUAGCUUUGGGUACUUUCAGGACCCGUCUUGAAAC